Molecule: ribosomal RNA, 253 nt
Filed under: uncultured bacterium
Lineage: Bacteria
Description: partial 16S ribosomal RNA
Rfam family: Bacterial small subunit ribosomal RNA
Source: RNAcentral
UACGUAGGUGGCAAGCGUUGUCCGGAAUUAUUGGGCGUAAAGCGCGCGCAGGCGGUCCUUUAAGUCUGAUGUGAAAGCCCACGGCUCAACCGUGGAGGGUCAUUGGAAACUGGGGGACUUGAGUACAGAAGAGAAGAGUGGAAUUCCACGUGUAGCGGUGAAAUGCGUAGAGAUGUGGAGGAACACCAGUGGCGAAGGCGACUCUUUGGUCUGUAACUGACGCUGAGGCGCGAAAGCGUGGGGGGCGAACAGG